AGGCUUCGUGGUCGUAAAGCUCUGUUGUUAGGGAAGAACAAGUACCGGAGUAACUGCCGGUACCUUGACGGUACCUAACCAGAAAGCCACGGCUAACUACGUGCCAGCAGCCGCGGUAAUACGUAGGUGGCAAGCGUUGUCCGGAAUUAUUGGGCGUAAAGCGCGCGCAGGCGGUUCUUUAAGUCUGAUGUGAAAGCCCACGGCUCAACCGUGGAGGGUCAUUGGAAACUGGGGGACUUGAGUACAGAAGAGGAAAGCUGAAUUCCACGCGUAGCGGUGAAAUGCGUCCAGAUGUGAAGGAACUCCAGUGGCGAAGGUGAUUUUCUGGUCUGUAACUGACGCUGAGGCGCGAAAGCGUGCGGAGCGAACAGGAUUAGAUACCCUGGUACGCCACGCCGGAAACGAUGACUGCUAAGUGUUAGAGCGUUUCCGCCCUUUACUGCUGCAUCUAACGCAUUACGUACUCCGCCUGAUCAGUACGGUCGCAAGGCUGAAAAUCGAAGGAAAUUG
RNAcentral lists this ribosomal RNA (510 nucleotides) under uncultured bacterium. RNAcentral's name for it is "bacterial SSU rRNA". It matches the Rfam family "Bacterial small subunit ribosomal RNA", at positions 412 to 913 of the family's 1533-position model. The record is from RNAcentral.